This 345-nucleotide unclassified non-coding RNA is filed under the name soil metagenome. RNAcentral's name for it is "partial contains 5.8S ribosomal RNA, internal transcribed spacer 2, and large subunit ribosomal RNA". The stretch from base 1 to 119 matches the Rfam family "5.8S ribosomal RNA", at positions 35 to 154 of the family's 154-position model. The record is from RNAcentral.
GAUGAAGAACGUAGCGAAAUGCGAUACGUAAUGUGAAUUGCAAAUUCAGUGAAUCAUCGAGUCUUUGAACGCACAUUGCGCCCCCUGGUAUUCCGGGGGGCAUGCCUGUCCGAGCGUCAUUGCUGCCCUCAAGCACGGCUUGUGUGUUGGGCCCCGUCCUCCGAUCCCGGGGGACGGGCCCGAAAGGCAGCGGCGGCACCGCGUCCGGUCCUCGAGCGUAUGGGGCUUUGUCACCCGCUCUGUAGGCCCGGCCGGCGCUUGCCGAUCAACCCAAAUUUAUAUCCAGGUUGACCUCGGAUCAGGUAGGGAUACCCGCUGAACUUAAGCAUAUCAAUAAGCGGAGGA